AUUAAUUGGGAUCAUUGAUCGAAGGAACCGGUGGUAAGUCUUUUCAAUCUAGUCUUUAUUUCGUAUUUUAGAAAAACUGAAACCCCUAAAGGUUAGGGAGGCUGUCGACUUGGACUUGUAGCCCUAAGGGGUUGUGAUAAUUGUUUUGUCUUGAUAAUAAUAUGAUCUAGAGGUUGCUGAUCAAGGGCUUGGACAAGUGGAGCAA
RNAcentral lists this long non-coding RNA (205 nucleotides) under Gossypium barbadense (sea-island cotton). Its description in RNAcentral is "long non-coding RNA (GBAR_LNC012690)". The record is from RNAcentral. Lineage: Eukaryota; Viridiplantae; Streptophyta; Magnoliopsida; Malvales; Malvaceae.